CCCGUUGCGGCAGCCCUAACCAUUGCAAGUCGAGCGGUAACAGAAAGUAGCUUGCUACUUUGCUGACGAGCGGCGGACGGGUGAGUAAUGCUUGGGAACAUGCCUUGAGGUGGGGGACAACAGUUGGAAACGACUGCUAAUACCGCAUAAUGUCUACGGACCAAAGGGGGCUUCGGCUCUCGCCUUUAGAUUGGCCCAAGUGGGAUUAGCUAGUUGGUGAGGUAAUGGCUCACCAAGGCGACGAUCCCUAGCUGGUUUGAGAGGAUGAUCAGCCACACUGGGACUGAGACACGGCCCAGACUCCUACGGGAGGCAGCAGUGGGGAAUAUUGCACAAUGGGCGCAAGCCUGAUGCAGCCAUGCCGCGUGUGUGAAGAAGGCCUUCGGGUUGUAAAGCACUUUCAGUCAGGAGGAAAGGUUAAUAGUUAAUACCUGUUAGCUGUGACGUUACUGACAGAAGAAGCACCGGCUAACUCCGUGCCAGCAGCCGCGGUAAUACGGAGGGUGCGAGCGUUAAUCGGAAUUACUGGGCGUAAAGCGUACGCAGGCGGUUUGUUAAGCGAGAUGUGAAAGCCCCGGGCUCAACCUGGGAACUGCAUUUCGAACUGGCAAACUAGAGUGUGAUAGAGGGUGGUAGAAUUUCAGGUGUAGCGGUGAAAUGCGUAGAGAUCUGAAGGAAUACCGAUGGCGAAGGCAGCCACCUGGGUCAACACUGACGCUCAUGUACGAAAGCGUGGGGAGCAAACGGGAUUAGAUACCCCGGUAGUCCACGCCGUAAACGAUGUCUACUAAAAGCUCGGAGCCUCGUUUCUGUUUUUUAAGCUAACCAUUAAGAACACCGCCUGGCG
RNAcentral lists this ribosomal RNA (847 nucleotides) under Pseudoalteromonas sp. WH10-1-2. Its description in RNAcentral is "bacterial SSU rRNA". It matches the Rfam family "Bacterial small subunit ribosomal RNA", at positions 32 to 878 of the family's 1533-position model. The record is from RNAcentral. Lineage: Bacteria; Pseudomonadati; Pseudomonadota; Gammaproteobacteria; Alteromonadales; Pseudoalteromonadaceae.